Vidua macroura (Pin-tailed whydah) is the source of this 699-nucleotide long non-coding RNA. RefSeq lists it as uncharacterized. Lineage: Eukaryota; Metazoa; Chordata; Aves; Passeriformes; Viduidae. The transcript has 3 exons. The record is from RefSeq and is a predicted model, not a curated record.
UCAGCUGGGCCACUGAUUUCUGCCCUAACUCAGGCUUACCACCUUUGGGCCUGCUGCCAGAGAGCCCAUAUGAAUCCCCUUCCCCCUUCAGACCUAGUUUAAAGCCCUCUCAAUAAGGUCUGCCAGUUCAUGAGCUAAAAACCUUCUGCCCUUAACAGAGGGAUGUAUCCCAUCUGGUUCCAGUAGAGCAGGUCUUUGUCCAUCUGCCAGAGCAAGUGGAAUCAUUGAGUAUAAUAGUAACUUCUCAUUUCUUAAAGAAAAAUAAAAUGCAGUAAAGAAAAACUAAAAUGGCAUCUGGGACUGUGAGGAGGAAGUGACAUCAGAGGCAAGAUGCAAAUGCAGAAACACACCAAAUCCAGCACCUAAAAACCCCUAAAACAGCGAGCCACCAUGAAAUUGAAGGACCUAAAUGACUGCAAAGGGUGAGCAACUAGUUCUAGUGUCCGUAGGGACCUUUUUUAAUCUCUCACUCUAACCACAGAGAUGUCGGCUAGAAUGAGGACCCCAAGGUACAGCCCGGACUUUGGAAUCUCCUGCCACUCCCAUGAGGACGGAAUCCCCAGCUCUGCCUGCAUGCAAAGUGGGCAAAGCUGCACUCCUCCUCCUCCAUGCCACUCUGGGAAGCAGUGGCGGUGUGUGCGCAACCCAUCGGGUCCCCAUCCGAACCGGUCACUUUUUAAUAAAGGCAUUUUAAAAGAA